Molecule: ribosomal RNA, 497 nt
Filed under: uncultured bacterium
Lineage: Bacteria
Description: partial 16S ribosomal RNA
Rfam family: Bacterial small subunit ribosomal RNA
Source: RNAcentral
GAUGAACGCUGGCGGCGUGCCUAAUACAUGCAAGUCGAGCGAACGGACGGGAAGCUUGCUUCUCUGAUGUUAGCGGCGGACGGGUGAGUAACACGUGGAUAACCUACCUAUAAGACUGGGAUAACUUCGGGAAACCGGAGCUAAUACCGGAUAAUAUUUUGAACCGCAUGGUUCAAAAGUGAAAGACGGUCUUGCUGUCACUUAUAGAUGGAUCCGCGCUGCAUUAGCUAGUUGGUAAGGUAACGGCUUACCAAGGCAACGAUGCAUAGCCGACCUGAGAGGGUGAUCGGCCACACUGGAGCUGAGACACGGUCCAGACUCCUACGGGAGGCAGCAGUAGGGAAUCGUCCGCAAUGGGCGAAAGCCUGACGGAGCAACGCCGCGUGAGUGAUGAAGGUCUUCGGAUCGUAAAACUCUGUUAUUAGGGAAGAACAUAUGUGUAAGUAACUGUGCACAUCUUGACGGUACCUAAUCAGAAAGCCACGGCUAACUACGUG